Long non-coding RNA from Chelonia mydas (Green sea turtle), 427 nucleotides. RefSeq lists it as uncharacterized. The transcript is spliced from 3 exons. The record is from RefSeq and is a predicted model, not a curated record. NCBI's taxonomy places the organism in Eukaryota, Metazoa, Chordata, Testudines, Cheloniidae.
GGAAGAGUGAUUGGGGUAAGCUGUGUCUGUGCAGAGCAGAGGUAACUUCUGUGGUGGAGCUAAGUGCCUAGGAAAGUCAUCCUGGACUUGCUGUUCCUGAAAACUAAGUGAGAUAGCAGUGAACAGAACUGGUUAAAUGAGAACUGGCUGAGAAGGGUUAGUAGUGGCUGCUAAUGAGAAGCCUUUGAGAAGCAGUCUGAUUGCCUCAGUCCAGUUCCACCAUCUUGACAUCUGGGCUGUCGUUGCUGAUCUCCCCAGCAGGACCACCGAUGGAAUGGGUCAUUGACAGGAAACAAAAUGAAUGUCUAAAGAUGGCACCCACCCAGACAAAAGUGGGGCACGUCUGUGAGACGUGAUUCCGAAGGAUCGUUGGCUACAGCUAAGGCCAAAAGAUGUUACACUCCUUGGCUUCGGCUGUUAAACUGAU